This is a long non-coding RNA of Gasterosteus aculeatus aculeatus (three-spined stickleback), 2975 nucleotides long. NCBI's taxonomy places the organism in Eukaryota, Metazoa, Chordata, Actinopteri, Perciformes, Gasterosteidae. The record is from Ensembl.
GAACAACUCAACUUGCAGCGCGCGGAGCGGGGAGGACGCAUGUGGCCCGGUCUCUCGGCUGGUUUGGUUUGACACUGUGUGCGCACGGAGCUAAAGCCUCUUUCGCCCUUUGCGCCGGUGUUGUUAGGACAUUGCGCCAGUGUGAGAGGGGGAGGGGAGGGGGGGGACACCACUGCUGGAACACGUAACAGCGGGAUCCCUGCGAGUAUGGACGCCCUGCAGGCACAACGCGCUGGAGCAGGCGGCGUCGGGGAAGGGGACGCCGAGGAGAGGUACCGCGCUCUCGCCUUUGACACGGCUGUGAGCACCCUGGUGGCCGUGGCCGUGUACGCGGUGGUGAAAGUGAGCCUGGACGGCUUCAGACAGUGGCGGGCCAGGAUCUCGGUGCUCGUCGUGGGUUCGGGACCCGUGGGGCUGACGGCCGCGCUGGUCGCUGUCCGCUCCGGUAAGGUGCUGAAACUGACCGUGCUGGACGAGAGGUACCGCGCGGCGCUGCUCUGCCGGCCACAGCAGAUCGCCUUGGAUCCCCGCAGCGUGAAGUUUCUGCUGGGACUCGGGGUGGACUUUGAUAACAUGGAGGGCUGUUGGCACAACGAGCAUUUCUUCACCCGGAUAGGCGUGUUUCAGGAGUACCUGCUGAGCAUCCUAGAGCAGAAGAAACUGAAGGUGGACGUCAAGGUGCAGCUGGGAACCAAGUUCUCCGAGGAAUACCUGCGGCGGAUUCAGCGGAACGAGUGGCCUCGUGUGAUUGUGGUGGCCGACGGGUCGUGUGGCGACUCCUGCUCCGUGCUGGGCAUUAGCUCCGACUACACCGUGGAGUCCUGCCAUGCCUACGGAGCUAAUGCCACCAUAGAGAGACUAGAUCAGAGACAGGUUCCCACUCCUGAGAUCCGUACCCCCAGCCUCUACUUCGACCUGUCCGCCUAUGGCGUGGAGGCCCUCCGAGAGCCCAGAAAUCCCGCCGCCAAACCUGGCUUCCACCUAAAGAUCUAUGGCACCUUCAGGAACCGCUACAUGGCCCUCGCCUGCCCGGCCUCUGACACCAAGAUGGUCCGCUUCCUCCGGCACACGGCCAACUCCUCUAUCAUGAAGAAUAUUUUCCACCAGUCCUUCAAUGUUUAUAAGACGGACAUCGAGCCUCGUCUCAACGACGUGACGCUGCACCGCAUGCAGUGCAGCCGGCGUCUCUUUGAGAUUCAGUUAUCACACAGACGCAUCAGCGCUGCCUUCAUAGAGGGGGACAAUGUGGCCGUCACCGUGGAGGGGGAGGCGGCGCGCGUCCUCAACUUUGACACAGGUUGCGGAGUGAAUCUGGGUAUGCAAGGACUGGAGUCAAUGGGGACGUUCAUUUACCAGACAGCCACAGCUGUGGACCAGAACGAUGUUCUAGAGGCACUGUCUGCUAAAAUGCAACACUCCAGACAGGUGGCCGAGAGCUUCAAGCAGACAGGCCUGGCUCAAUCAAUUUAUGAAUGAAACACGAGGACGGGCAGGUGAAUGCAUAGUGCCCCCUAGUGGGAAGUGGUGGUGGAUUGUUUGUGUUUACACUGAAUGUUUACAAUGAAUCACUGUUGAUUACACACUGAAAGCAGAUGAACGGACGUGAUCUUUGCCUGGAUGAAUACAGGGUGUAAAGAUGUGACCACAAGUCGUUGUGAUGUACAAUGGGUGGAGCUAUUUAAUUAUGCAUGGAGCACACAUGCCAUGGACACAUUUGCUACGAGGCCUUUGAAGUUCUGUUUUUUCAGGUUGCAAAGCUCGUCAAUUCAAACAGAUGCAGAUGAGAUCUGACACAAUCUACAGUACAUUGUCUAUUAAUGCACUGCACUGGAUUUGGAUUCCUCUGUUAAGUGUCAGAACGAACCGGAUGAGGAGUUUCCUAAAUCUAGUCCAUUGUGUUCUCUUAACAUCGGUGUAAUGAGACUGUUGUGCAGCAACAUCAACAGGAGCUGAAUAAUGCAUUAAACUGUUAUUGUAUGUGAUUUAACAGAGGAGCACAUGUGUAGAAUCUGAUAUCCAGUCUAUCGUGCCGUUUGUCCUUGUGUUUUGCGUGGCGCAAACUGUGUUGAUGACGUUGUGAAGUAUGUGUGUGCUCUUUUUUGUGUACUUUUUAAGCAGGUUUCAAAAGCUCCCAUUAAAUAGGGCAAUUGUAAUAUCACAAACUAAUUUGGCUGGUGUCACAUUCAUUUCUAAAGAACUGAAGUGACAUUUGAGAGAUUGGGAGUAUAAUAAAAUCCUGCUCCUGUUGAAGUGCCAAUAAAUGUGGUGGUUGGGUAUAAGUUAUAUGGAUCGUCUUUACAUAGAACCCCUGUAUGUUUAAUUGGAGAUGAACGCAAUUUAACAAAGGUUAAAGCAACCAGUGUAGGAACUUGUUAGGGGUUUACAAAGAUUUUUGCAAAUCAAAUGAAAAUAAAAUGAAAAAAAACGAUGAGCCUUAAAACAGACUUAUCUUUUCAGAGUCCGAUUACUCCGUAAGCAGAAAGUUUGACAUGCUGUUGUAAAUAACUAUAUAUUUGUGAGCUGCACCCCAUUUAGACAGAACGGUAUCAUGUGUUGUUUCCAUAAUAGUUGAUAUGAGGCACUGCUGCCCUCUACUGGUGCAGCCUGUCUGUUGCACCUGCUUAGCCUCAAACUUCCACACCUGACUAAUCUCUUGUAUUUUAAGUGUAAUCGAUCCCUUAAAUAUAACUUAAGCCCACUGAUGGAACUGAGAGGGGCCCAGGAUCGUCCGAUAGGACACAAGUUGCCUUUCUGGUAUUCUUUUCUUUGGUAAAGCACUUUGUAAAAUUGUUUAGAAACAAAUGAUUAAGGGUAUUUUUAUGGCAUACUAUACUAGUACAUAUUCCAUGACACUUUUUGUAAUGUCACGCUGUACAUUGGUAUUUCCUAUAGCCUUUCUUUUCCUAUUUUACUAUCAGGUAUUUUAAGAACUUUUUGUGAAAUUUGAUUUAAUUACAAUUUCAUUUUUAACUCUU